GGGGAGCGGCCGGGCCCUGGGCGGGGCAGGGCGAGGCUGGAUCUUCGGAACGAGUCCGUGAAGGAUCGGGCGCGGGCGCGGGCGCGGGGCCGGAGGGCCCUGGGAGAGUGGGUUGAGAGAAUGGAAGUGAAGAGGAAGGCUUCACCAUCACCUUAACUAACAUGUGUUUCCUACCGUUAAAUAAACAUUAUAGGAGGCCACUGUUUUGGACUAAGUUUCUGCACCAGGCCCCAGCCGACCAGACUAAAAAUCAAAAGAGUCACCCAUGCUAAAGUUCCACAUUACCAAAUGGAAACUGAGUUGCCAUCUAACCUGGGGAGAAAUCAAGAGACAACAGCCAAUUUCCCAAACAGGCCGGUUUAAAUCCUCAAUCAACAUCACAUUUCCCUGCUUUAAUCCUACGCAAAAAAAGGCG
Molecule: long non-coding RNA, 415 nt
Filed under: Homo sapiens (human)
Lineage: Eukaryota; Metazoa; Chordata; Mammalia; Primates; Hominidae
Description: HSALNT0004210
Source: RNAcentral